AAUUGGGAUAAUUUAUGGUGUCCUAAGUCACCGGUUUACAAUCUAGAAUCUAGGAAAUUUGACUCUAAUCACGGUCUGCGAACACAAAUAUCCAGGUAAGGAAAUUUGUUAACUCGGGAGAAGGUGUUAGGAAAUCUUGAGUUUCCUGGUUCUAGCACGGUCGCUUUGAUCAUACUGAGCUUAAUUAAAUUAUCUAAUUACUCAUUUUUAAACAUAUGUCCAUUUUCCUAUUUUAAUUAAGAAAUAACCUUGAAAACGGGUCACGCGCAUGUGUACCCAUUUGUUUAGCGUGUCAGCAAUCAUGUCAAACGAACGUGUCUACAAUUAGUAACGCUUUCUUAUUAAUAAGAACGUUUAGCCGAAGUUGCGUGAACGCAUACUUCGAUUUAUUUUAGGAUUGUAAUCAUGUCCCACGAAUGUGUACACUACCACGAUGGUUUAUUUAAUGUUCCAAAAGCAAGCUAAGAGUAUCAUUCUUAGAAUAGAAAUUAUAACACUUAAUAAGAGGGCCACAAGUGACUUAAUUAGGAUGACAGACCUCAAUUCAAAUAAAAGAGUUACAUUUACUUAGGACUAAGGGAUAUUACUACUUACAAAUGAAUUAAAAUUAAUGUAUAACUAUUAGCAAGAAGGUUUGGGGUACAUGCUAGGACCUUGAUUAUUUAAAGCCAAUCGGUUUGAAUUUAUACCCAAACAAAUUAUUGAAGAGAAAAACUAGUCUCAAUACGAACCCAGAAAUUUGGCGAGGUAGACGGCUGCCCCUUUCUAAGUGAGCCACAGUCCAGGCCCAAUCCAUUACUCACGAUAAGAUGUUUCUGGGGAGGAGUAAGAGCUUAGGGGUGUGGGGCCCGAAAUCAAGCCCAAAUAGAGGGGUGUUAAUAUCUGAGGCCUAUAGAAAACUGGCUGAGCCCAUCCAACUACAAUCAACAUGAGACAAUAUGAUAUGCAAGCCCCAAGUACACCAACAUCCAAAUAACCAUAUCAUACAUCUAAAAUAAACAUUGUUUUAUUAUCCAUGUUAGAAAAAUAAAUCUGGGAUUUAAAUUACUGAAUAAUUAUGCUAAAUUCACAAGUACAACUAUCCUAACAGCACGAAAAUCCUAAUCAAUUUAACUUGGAAAUAUAUAAUAGUCAUCAAACAUAUAACCUUUUCCACAAAUUAUAUCUCGUAAAGAGAGCUCUAAUAAUUAAGACUAGAUUCUAGAAGAAACUAAACAAACGGAAUCAUGACAUGAGCCAACCCUGCAUUGAGAAUCAACACCGACCUAUGUGUCAAACUAAAGAAAAAGAGAGUGAGUAUUUCAACAAUAGGAAGAAAACAGAAGCCAAGCAACAAAUCAACAGUAGGAUUCAACUUCUUUAAACCCUCUUUGGACCCAAAACACCAGAAACUCUAUGAAAAGGCUUUUAUGUACCCCAAGAAGAAAAUCAGGAAGCAAUUCGAGGAAGACUAAUGAAAGGAAUGCAGAGAAUUUAGGCUAUUUUUAAGGGUAUCAAUGUCUUAUUUAUUAAGCGAAAGAAUGGUCUAUGCAUAGCCUUUUAGGAAUGACAUGUGCUACCGAAAACAAUAUGAGAAUUAUUCCUUCUCAUCUUUCCAAACAGAAUUGGGACAACUAGCAGACUUUGAUUUGCUCCAACAUUUAUGCUAGCAAAAAUUGGACCAGUUGCCCCAAAUUCAGAGGAUUUCCUUCAUCAAAUGUGAUUUACUAUUUCUAAAUUAACCUAUAGAUUACUGAGUAUUGCAAUUCUUACCUACACUCUGAUUUCAAUUCAACUCUAUCUAUCUUAAGGACUUCUAGAAAGAACCAAGUGAUUCAGUUGCCUUAUUUUGCAAACCUACGGUAUUGGAUUUUAUUUUUAUAAAAUUGAACUAAGGUUUAGGUUUCAAUUUAGGGGUUAAAACCAAAUUAAAAAUUUAGCCAGCUAAUCCUAAAUAGCAAACAAAUUCCAGAAUGCUAGAUGCAAAGAAGCAUAAAAAUCAAAGCUGACUUAUUUCACCUAAGAAAAAUUGAAUCAAGGUAAAGCUAAAACAAUCACCUAUCAGCUAAAUAUUCAAUUGAUUUAACCUUUAAAACUAUCCUAAUUACCUGAACUGACACCGAAAAAACUUGCAUGAAAAAAAUAUGAAAGGAAAACCAAAGCAAACGGAUCAUCAGUACCAAAAUGUUAAAACUGAUUAAAUUUGAAUCUAGGCAAAAAGUAAAUUCCUAAUGAUGAAAUCCAAAGGCGUGCCAUUAACAGUCGAAGAAAAGAAGAUAAAACCUAAAUCAAACAGCUAAUUCAGGAACAAUUAACAUGAAAUGGAAUCAAACAAAAAGAAGGAAAAAUAAAGAAAAGGUAAAAGAAGUUACCAAACAGGACCAAUCAAGACGAAUCUUGGCCAACCUUUGAAAGGGUAAAAUGAACAUGAAGCUGUCAUUAACCGGCUGUUCUCAAUAAGAAUAGUUGAGAAUUUAAAUAUUAGGGUUCAAAUGACUAGGUUCUGACAAGACGACCAAAAUGGGUGCUAGAUUAGGGUUCAAUGGAUUCCAUAUUUGAAAUUGGAUGAAAUUUAGCUGCGGCUUUCGGCAAAUUAAUUGUAGUUUAGGUUUCAGGGGGUUGUGAGAAAUAUGAGGUGUGAUAUUGGGGCCAUUUGGGAGAUUUAGGUUUUCAGGAUUCCCAUCAUAGAUCUAAAUAUUCCAAGGGGUUGAUAAUGAUUUGGGGAAAAAUGGAUAAGAGAGUAGGAAAACUGAUGUGACACAAUUUAUGGGGUGUUAAUUCGAGGGUGUUUGGGUCACCGAAACCACCGUGAGGUGAUUUUAUGAGGUUGUUGGCGGCAGAGAGAGCGGGGUUUUUAGGGCAGUUGUCUUUAGGGUUUGUUUAGGCCAGAUGAAGGUGAGGGUUAGGGUUCGAGGAGGGGGGUGGCAAGCCUUCUGACGGUUUUAUAUUNN
Molecule: long non-coding RNA, 2930 nt
Filed under: Nicotiana benthamiana
Lineage: Eukaryota; Viridiplantae; Streptophyta; Magnoliopsida; Solanales; Solanaceae
Description: long non-coding RNA (NBEN_LNC012051)
Source: RNAcentral